GCCGUCUAGCGUCCAAGGUCCAAACCUGGCCCAAACAGAAGCAAAUAAUCAGUGUGAAGCAAUUAUAACCUUUUAUAAUCGUUAAUACUUUCGAUUACACUGAAUGCUUCACAGUUAGUAUUGACAAGAGGAAAAUUUCAUCAUCAACUUAACUUAGUUUAGCUUCGAUACGGCUUUAUUACACAGCUCGUUUGAGUCUCUGCAGUCUCCAGAAGGCCUCGAACGUCAGCGACAAUCACGGUUUAUGGCGUUUGAUCAUAAUAUUUGACUGUGUUUUGUGAAAGAGGCACACAUAUAAUGCAAAUUUGCAAACAAACGUUUGUUGAACGUUGAAGCAGCCAGACGUCAUCUGACAGAAGCUACUUCACUAAAUACGUUUGAGGCUGGAUCAGACUGAAACUGGAUUGUCACAUCAGCCGUGGAGGUGUAGAGUCUGAACCGAGGGAGGACACCGCUGUACUGGCCUAGGAUGUUGGCUGUGAGGUCAUCACCAUCAUAAAUGGACCUUUGUGGACUCCAGCAGACCAGUUUGUGGAACGUUAAUGAAGGUCUAGUAGGACCCAGGAGAGGCGGCAGUGUGAAUACAAGAUUUUUCCUUCUUGGUUUGGGAUGAGGGAGGACAGGCUCUGACAGCACAUGUCUCCCAUAGCAACGCAAGAGCUUUAAAGUCCAGCCGUGGCUCUGUCACCCUGUCAAAUCAGCGCAAAGGUGCAGUUUGGUGUCCUGCAGUUCAGCUGCCAGUCGCUGGCAUUUCUUCUUUAACUGCUGGACUGAUCGCUGGGACUCCUCCUGGUCAGCCUGCAAGUCUGCUAACUAUGAAGAAAGAAAAAGAAAGAGAGACAGG
This 844-nucleotide long non-coding RNA is filed under the name Danio rerio (zebrafish). Its description in RNAcentral is "si:ch211-183b15.1 (ENSDARG00000097240.2)". The record is from RNAcentral. Lineage: Eukaryota; Metazoa; Chordata; Actinopteri; Cypriniformes; Danionidae.